AGAGUUUGAUCAUGGCUCAGGAUGAACGCUGGCGGCGUGCUUAACACAUGCAAGUCGAACGGUGAAGCCCAGCUUGCUGGGUGGAUCAGUGGCGAACGGGUGAGUAACACGUGAGCAAUCUGCCCCUGACUCUGGGAUAAGCGCUGGAAACGGCGUCUAAUACUGGAUAUGAACCGUGGAGGCAUCUUCAACGGUUGGAAAGAUUUUUUGGUCAGGGAUGAGCUCGCGGCCUAUCAGCUUGUUGGUGAGGUAAUGGCUCACCAAGGCGUCGACGGGUAGCCGGCCUGAGAGGGUGACCGGCCACACUGGGACUGAGACACGGCCCAGACUCCUACGGGAGGCAGCAGUGGGGAAUAUUGCACAAUGGGCGCAAGCCUGAUGCAGCAACGCCGCGUGAGGGAUGACGGCCUUCGGGUUGUAAACCUCUUUUAGCAGGGAAGAAGCGAAAGUGACGGUACCUGCAGAAAAAGCGCCGGCUAACUACGUGCCAGCAGCCGCGGUAAUACGUAGGGCGCAAGCGUUAUCCGGAAUUAUUGGGCGUAAAGAGCUCGUAGGCGGUUUGUCGCGUCUGCUGUGAAAUCCCGAGACUCAACCUCGGGUCUGCAGUGGGUACGGGCAGACUAGAGUGCGGUAGGGGAGAUUGGAAUUCCUGGUGUAGCGGUGGAAUGCGCAGAUAUCAGGAGGAACACCGAUGGCGAAGGCAGAUCUCUGGGCCGUAACUGACGCUGAGGAGCGAAAGGGUGGGGAGCAAACAGGCUUAGAUACCCUGGUAGUCCACCCCGUAAACGUUGGGAACUAGUUGUGGGGUCCAUUCCACGGAUUCCGUGACGCAGCUAACGCAUUAAGUUCCCCGCCUGGGGAGUACGGCCGCAAGGCUAAAACUCAAAGGAAUUGACGGGGACCCGCACAAGCGGCGGAGCAUGCGGAUUAAUUCGAUGCAACGCGAAGAACCUUACCAAGGCUUGACAUAUACGAGAACGCUGCAGAAAUGUAGAACUCUUUGGACACUCGUAAACAGGUGGUGCAUGGUUGUCGUCAGCUCGUGUCGUGAGAUGUUGGGUUAAGUCCCGCAACGAGCGCAACCCUCGUUCUAUGUUGCCAGCACGUAAUGGUGGGAACUCAUGGGAUACUGCCGGGGUCAACUCGGAGGAAGGUGGGGAUGACGUCAAAUCAUCAUGCCCCUUAUGUCUUGGGCUUCACGCAUGCUACAAUGGCCGGUACAAAGGGCUGCAAUACCGUAAGGUGGAGCGAAUCCCAAAAAGCCGGUCCCAGUUCGGAUUGAGGUCUGCAACUCGACCUCAUGAAGUCGGAGUCGCUAGUAAUCGCAGAUCAGCAACGCUGCGGUGAAUACGUUCCCGGGUCUUGUACACACCGCCCGUCAAGUCAUGAAAGUCGGUAACACCUGAAGCCGGUGGCCCAACCCUUGUGGAGGGAGCCGUCGAAGGUGGGAUCGGUAAUUAGGACUAAGUC
This 1470-nucleotide ribosomal RNA is filed under the name Microbacterium sp. IARI-JR-80. RNAcentral describes it as "bacterial SSU rRNA". It matches the Rfam family "Bacterial small subunit ribosomal RNA". The record is from RNAcentral. Lineage: Bacteria; Bacillati; Actinomycetota; Actinomycetes; Micrococcales; Microbacteriaceae.